CCGGCAGCGCGGCCCGGCCGCGGGAGGGAGCGCCCCGGGGGAAGGCGCCGGCCGAGGCGGUGCCGGCGGCGGGGCGAAGGGGGCGAGGAGGCCUCAGCGCGUACGUCGGCGGCCUUACACCGCCCGAAGGGGCAUCGGCCGGUCUUCCGCCCGCCGGUGGCCGCGCCCUCGGCCCGCCCCUCCCCUCGGCCGCCGGCGGGCGGGAGCUCUGGCAGGAGCCGGGCGGGCAGCCCGGCCCGGCAGCCGCGAGUGGAGUGGGUUCUGAAAAACCAUUUUCAAGCGAGGAUGUCAACGCUCGGCCCCUGGGACAGGGGUGACAGGAAAGCGUUCCUGGAGAGUCCACAUUCCCUAGGCCCUGUGCGCGGGGAGGCAAGAAUUUCAGAUGAACAACAGUCAAUAUACUCACUUUUCCCCCACCCCCUCUUGAUUGCACCUUUAUUUUCAAGAGGCCAGAGAUAAGAUGGACACAGACUGGAAUUUUAAGCCCAUACUAUGACAUACAGGUAAUAAAAUGUUAUCCAUCAAUUAGCAGAUAAACACGAGGCACCUAAUGCUGUCCCCAUGUCCCAAACACUGGCUGAGUGGGUGCAGGGUUGUGUCUGCACUCACACCGCCCGGCUCCCAGAGCACACGGUGGGUUUGUGCUGCUUGUCCCAGCGUUCGGCAUACAAACCCCAGGCAUGGGAUCAAUGCAUUGGGUCCGUCAGGGCUCAGUCUAGUUCGGCUUCUCUGGUGUCUUUGUGCAGUACUGAGUGUCUGCGUGAAGGGAUGAGAUUCCUCACCUUUGCUUUCAGCAUCACCAAAUAUAGUCAUGCUGAGGAACUUUCAGCAUCCAGAUGGGAUGAUGAAUUCUCUUAAUCAACCCCAGGAUGUUAUUGUCUCAACUCAUAAAGCUCUUGAUCUGUGUUUGGACUGGGACUGGGAUUAUGUACGUGGAAACUUCAUCUAUGCUGUGAACAAGUCGUUCUCUUUGUCAUUAGAGUUUGGGAAGCAUUCUGUUAUAAAAAAGGACCUAUUGAUAAUACCCUUUUCGAAGUUAAUGAAACUCUUUCUGAAAGCAUUAUGGAAAUUUAUUACCGUGCCCCAGAAAUUACUGUCUUGGUAACUUGCUACCGUUUAGAUUGCCUUCUUAAUCUUCUUUGUCAGUAGGAUACUCUGUCAUUGUCACCAAAGUCCCGAAUUAUUAUCUUCAUUUAUACGUUAGAGAAAGACUAAAAUUGACCAAUUGUGCAACAAAACCUUUUUUGAUUAACAUCAUGUCUCCAUCAGAGAUAAAACUAACCAUUCCACCUGUACGGCAUGGAUGAGCGGGUUUUAUUUGAGGAAGGACAGCUGAUCUAACCAAGGCCACCCCCUCAAAAAUGGGGAGGACAUUAGGAUUAGCCUCAUGCAAUUUAAAUCACAUCUCCCACCUACUGAGAAGUUGCAUUAAGAAGCACAGAAGCACCUUAAAGUUGGGAAGUGCUGGGCACAGCAAAUCUGUGUGCACAGAGCUGUGAGAUGAAUCCAGACUUAACCACACGCGUGAUGUAGAGUCUGAUACGCUUGUGCAGAGCAGCUGCGUGGCCUGGGCGUCCGGCUUCAGAGCUACAGCGAGCGGCAGCUGCGCGCUUUGCGGGUUUGGAUCCUGUGGGCUUAUGUGCCUUAAGGCUGCACUGUGAUAUGUUUUUUAAUCACAAAGCCGUAAUCUUGUUUUCCCAGAGGAGCCCUAUUGCUAAGUAGGAAUGUUGUUCUUUCAGGAGCUUUUAGGAGAGCAGGCUCAAAUAAUUUGUUGUGUUUAGUUUAGCAAAAUAAAAGGUUAAGAGGAGAUUUCAUGUUGUCUCGAAAGGAGGGUAGACGUCAUGGAUGUAGAAUUGUUAUUUAAAUGGAAGACAAAUGUGUGUAAAAUGGGUGUUAAUUAAUGUAGAUCAUGAAUUAGAAGAUUUGGAAUUUUCAGAUCAAUGAGGCUGUGUAAAAACUUCCCAGUGCUGAGAGCAGAAAGCCCAGCCGCUUGGAGAGUGGAGCCUGAUCCAUUUGUAAAAGUGCUCAUGUGAUGUAGUUGCCUGAGUAGCAGGAGACUAAACUCCAGAAGCUUUCCAAUUCUAUGUUUUCAAUUUAAUGUUUCUUUUAUUGCUUAUUCCAUGUAAUGAAGAGUUUACUGCAUAGCAUUAUCCUUCACUGAAUAAAAAAAAAAUUAAUUUCCUUUAGA
This is a long non-coding RNA of Columba livia (rock pigeon), 2188 nucleotides long. RefSeq lists it as uncharacterized. The record is from RefSeq and is a predicted model, not a curated record. NCBI's taxonomy places the organism in Eukaryota, Metazoa, Chordata, Aves, Columbiformes, Columbidae. The transcript has 2 exons.